Long non-coding RNA from Rhipicephalus sanguineus (brown dog tick), 404 nucleotides. RefSeq lists it as uncharacterized. The transcript has 3 exons. Lineage: Eukaryota; Metazoa; Arthropoda; Arachnida; Ixodida; Ixodidae. The record is from RefSeq and is a predicted model, not a curated record.
CUAAGUAAAGCGGGCAAUACGCGUUCCGCUGCACUGGGAUCUACCUAACAAAUUUGGAUAUCAUGAAGGCAGCCGUGGCUAUGCUUCUUGUCACCAUUAGCGCUCUCCUUUUCUUUGGGACUAUAGCAGUUCCUACUGCUGAAUCUGAAGCUAGAGCCGGAGCUUCACAGGAAGCCCUGCGAUCUGAUGCUGCAGCGCACGAAUCAGAAAGAGGUAUUGGUGCUGGCUGCGCGGCCUCUCUCUGCGGUUAGCACCUACAAGGACGGCACCCUCGUCGAUGAUGCAGACGAGAAGAAACCACGCCUUCGAUGCGUUCUCGCAGUAAAACAUUGGUAGUGGUGGCGGUAAUAAAUUUCUACUCAACAGAUUUGCUAUAGCGCAGUGUGUACUACUGAUUAUUAAAG